GCACAUGGAUUCUUUAUUUGCCUUUAAUCUUUAGAGAAGAAGAUACACUAUAUAUUCAUUAAAAUAAUCAAACUUUGGAUGCUUGAAAAGUAGAAAGAAUUAUAAAGUGAUAUAUGAGAUGAUAUUUAGUGAAGGAAUCAUUAAAAUAAAAAAUAAAAGAAAAGAGAGAACAGAGAAGAAUCAAUGGUGGCAUGGCCCGACUCGUAGGGCGUGAGAGAGUGAGUGAACUUAGUUUCUCGAGGGAGCGUCUCUCAUUUGUAUUUUACUUUAGAAAAAAAAUCGUGGGUUUGCUUUUUGUUGUUUAUGGUCACAAACCAAGAUUUAGUCACUAUUGCACUUUCAU
Molecule: long non-coding RNA, 343 nt
Organism: Arabidopsis thaliana (thale cress)
Lineage: Eukaryota; Viridiplantae; Streptophyta; Magnoliopsida; Brassicales; Brassicaceae
Product: other RNA
Exons: 1
Source: RefSeq